RNAcentral lists this long non-coding RNA (494 nucleotides) under Prunus persica (peach). RNAcentral describes it as "long non-coding RNA (PPER_LNC004099)". The record is from RNAcentral. Lineage: Eukaryota; Viridiplantae; Streptophyta; Magnoliopsida; Rosales; Rosaceae.
AACGACAACAACCACAGAGACAUCUGGAUCUGCCGCAUAUUUACAUACACAACGGUAAACAGAGGAACGAAACGACGCCGUCAAAAACAGUACCCGAUUUCCGAUUCAGGUCCGGUCACUCCGGUUCUUACUUUGACUAUGGUGACUAUAAUGACUGUGUUGGCUCCGGUUGUGGCCUGAAACGGCGCUGUUCCCUUCCUUCUUCUGCGGGGCGGAGAACAGCUGCCCGAACCCGAAAACCGACCCCGACUUGGACGACCCGCGAAGCGAACAGACCGGAACGUUGAGAACCGGCGUCACUCUGACGUUGGCCGAGUAGGACCGCUCCAUGCCUCUGUGUUUCAGCCUGGGCCCACCGUUGAAGCUACUCGGGCUACUGGAGCUCCGCUCCAAGCUCUGAAACACAAUUUUUCCAGACGAGUUCAUUCUCGGCGAGUCCACCGAUACGCCCCUGCUCGCGACUGUAGCCGAUUCCCCCACCGGCCGCCUCAUCG